Molecule: unclassified non-coding RNA, 18 nt
Filed under: Chlamydomonas reinhardtii
Lineage: Eukaryota; Viridiplantae; Chlorophyta; Chlorophyceae; Chlamydomonadales; Chlamydomonadaceae
Description: small RNA Cre_0124
Source: RNAcentral
AAGGCCUCAACCAAAGGG